GCCCCUGUGGCGGAAUGGUAGACGCGGCAGACUCAAAAUCUGUUGUCCGCAAGGGCGUGUUGGUUCGAGUCCGACCAGGGGCACCA
Molecule: transfer RNA, 86 nt
Filed under: Allostella humosa
Lineage: Bacteria; Pseudomonadati; Pseudomonadota; Alphaproteobacteria; Rhodospirillales; Allostellaceae
Also listed under: 3 other names
Description: Stella humosa tRNA-Leu
Rfam family: tRNA
About the family: Transfer RNA (tRNA) molecules are approximately 80 nucleotides in length. Their secondary structure includes four short double-helical elements and three loops (D, anti-codon, and T loops).
Source: RNAcentral